GACGAACGCUGGCGGCAUGCCUAACACAUGCAAGUCUAGGGGUAGCAAUACCACUGGCGCACGGGUGAGUAACACGUAGGUUAUCUGCCCCCAUCACAGACAUAACCCCGGGAAACCGGGGCUAAUAUCUGAUGAGGUCGCGAGAUCAAAGCUUCGGCGGAUGGGGAUGAGCCUGCGGCUGAUUAGCUAGUUGGUGAGGUAAUGGCUCACCAAGGCGACGAUCAGUAGCUGGUCUGAGAGGACGAACAGCCACACUGGAACUGAGACACGGUCCAGACUCCUACGGGAGGCAGCAAUGAGGAAUAUUGGUCAAUGGGAGCAAUCCUGAACCAGCAAUGCCGCGUGUGGGAUGACAGGGCUUCGCCUUGUAAACCACUGUCGGACGGGACGAAAGGAGGCCUCGGGCCUCUGGGACGGUACCGUCAAAGGAAGGGUCGGCUAACUACGUGCCAGCAGCCGCGGUAAU
Molecule: ribosomal RNA, 466 nt
Filed under: uncultured bacterium
Lineage: Bacteria
Description: bacterial SSU rRNA
Rfam family: Bacterial small subunit ribosomal RNA
Source: RNAcentral